AAUGUAGGCAAGGGAAGUCG
RNAcentral lists this small nuclear RNA (20 nucleotides) under Arabidopsis thaliana (thale cress). RNAcentral's name for it is "snRNA_09020". The record is from RNAcentral. Lineage: Eukaryota; Viridiplantae; Streptophyta; Magnoliopsida; Brassicales; Brassicaceae.